AUGGAGGCGAGCACCGUGGCAGCUCUGUAUCCCGCGCACCGAUGCAAAACCGUAUACCUGGUGAGGCAUGCCCAGGGUUUCCACAACGCGGCAGAAGAGUCGGAUAUUAUAGACCACACUUCACCUGCGCUGCUUGAUGCUCAACUUACCCCUUUGGGCUGGAGCCAAGUUGAUUGCCUGCGAGAGCAUGUGACGAAAUCUGGACUAGCAAAAAAGAUUGAGUUGGUUAUUGUUUCCCCUCUAAUGAGGACUAUGCAAACUGCAGUGGGGGUCUUUGGUGGUGGGAACUAUACUGAUGGAGUAAGUGCACCCCCUUUAAUGGUAGAAGGUGCAGAAAACAGUGGACGUCAGCCGAUUUCAAGUUUGAACUGCCCACCGUUUCUUGCAGUUGAGGCCUGCAGGGAGAAGUUGAGUGUUCUUACUUCUGACAAGAGGAGCAGCAUAACAAGAUACCGUACUCUCUUUCCUGCCAUUGAUUUUUCCUUGAUAAAGAAUGAUGAAGAUGUUCUUUGGGGACCCGAUGUCAUAGAAACAGAUGAGUCUGUUGUUGCCAGGGGCAUGAAUUUGUUUGACUGGUUAUGGACAAGGGAGGAGAAAGAGAUAGCUAUUGUCACCCAUUGUGGUUUCUUGUAUCACACCCUGAACACGUAUGGUAAAGGGUGUCAUCCAACCGUAGCAGAGGAACUGGGCAAGGUCUUCGCCAACUGUGAGCUCCGGUCGAUGGUGUUGGUCGACAGAAGUAAGCUUGGAUCGGAUACCUCUAGAUACAAUUUCGCUGGGAAGAUACCGGCCGGGCUCGAUAUGCCAAGCGAUGUCGCAGACAAGAAGCAGGCUGAAGAAGCUAGCAAGAAUUGA
This 855-nucleotide ribosomal RNA is filed under the name Triticum aestivum (bread wheat). RNAcentral's name for it is "partial small subunit ribosomal RNA". The record is from RNAcentral. Lineage: Eukaryota; Viridiplantae; Streptophyta; Magnoliopsida; Poales; Poaceae.